RNAcentral lists this ribosomal RNA (89 nucleotides) under Rhizoctonia solani. RNAcentral describes it as "partial 5.8S ribosomal RNA". It matches the Rfam family "5.8S ribosomal RNA", at positions 67 to 154 of the family's 154-position model. Rfam says of the family: 5.8S ribosomal RNA (5.8S rRNA) is a component of the large subunit of the eukaryotic ribosome. It is transcribed by RNA polymerase I as part of the 45S precursor that also contains 18S and 28S rRNA. Lineage: Eukaryota; Fungi; Basidiomycota; Agaricomycetes; Cantharellales; Ceratobasidiaceae. The record is from RNAcentral.
GUGAAUUGCAGAAUUCAGUGAAUCAUCGAAUCUUUGAACGCACCUUGCGCUCCUUGGUAUUCCUUGGAGCAUGCCUGUUUGAGUAUCAU